UCUUUGUCUAGGGCCAUCCUGCUUGUGGA
This 29-nucleotide non-coding RNA is filed under the name Mus musculus (house mouse). Lineage: Eukaryota; Metazoa; Chordata; Mammalia; Rodentia; Muridae. The record is from RNAcentral.